RNAcentral lists this ribosomal RNA (638 nucleotides) under uncultured bacterium. Its description in RNAcentral is "bacterial SSU rRNA". It matches the Rfam family "Bacterial small subunit ribosomal RNA", at positions 1 to 628 of the family's 1533-position model. The record is from RNAcentral.
CGCACUAGUGAUUAGAGUUUGAUCCUGGCUCAGAUUGAACGCUGGCGGCAUGCUUUACACAUGCAAGUCGAACGGGGUGAGGGGGCAACUCUUCAUUCAGUGGCGAACGGGUGAGUAAUGCAUCGGAACGUGUCCCGUAGUGGGGGAUAACGCCGCGAAAGCGGCGCUAAUACCGCAUACGCUCUACGGAGGAAAGCAGGGGACCUGAGAGGGCCUUGUGCUAGGGGGGCGGCCGAUGUCCGAUUAGCUAGUUGGUGGGGUAAUGGCCUACCAAGGCGACGAUCGGUAGCUGGUCUGAGAGGAUGAUCAGCCACACUGGGACUGAGACACGGCCCAGACUCCUACGGGAGGCAGCAGUGGGGAAUUUUGGACAAUGGGGGCAACCCUGAUCCAGCCAUGCCGCGUGCGGGAAGAAGGCCUUCGGGUUGUAAACCGCUUUUAGCCGGGAAGAAAAGGCGCGGGCGAAUACCUCGUGUUUUUGACGGUACCGGCGGAAUAAGCACCGGCUAACUACGUGCCAGCAGCCGCGGUAAUACGUAGGGUGCGAGCGUUAAUCGGAAUUACUGGGCGUAAAGCGUGCGCAGGCGGUUCGUUGUGUCGGCGGUGAAAGCCCCGGGCUUAACCUGGGAACGGCCGUU